CUUCAUGAUUUAAUAACGUGUAUAUCCUCUUAAUUUUAUACACGAAUUUAGUGCCUAAAUUUGAAUAUUAAUUUUAGUCCACAAGUUCAUAAAUGUCAUGAAUUUUCUCCACUAGUAAAUUUAGGAUUAAAUUCAAUGAUGUGGCAAGCAAGGUGUUGAAGUAAUAAGUGAUUUGUUAAUUGAGUAACGUCAACCGGAUCAAAACCCAUCCAUAUUACUCAUCUCGUCAAAUUAUUAUUAGCUAAAAAUAAGGCCAUCGAAUUAUACUUUUUGUUGGGUCAUGAGGAAGUUAAUCAUCAUUCACAUCAUUCAAAAGAGAUAAUACAGUGACUUGGAUAUUACGCCUUAAGUGUUUGAUUUUGG
This 363-nucleotide long non-coding RNA is filed under the name Medicago truncatula (barrel medic). RNAcentral describes it as "lncRNA gene32332". Lineage: Eukaryota; Viridiplantae; Streptophyta; Magnoliopsida; Fabales; Fabaceae. The record is from RNAcentral.